AAGUUGUUGCAGUUAAAAGCUCGUAGUUGGAUUUCUGGUGGGGGUGUUUGGCCGGCUCAAUGAGUUUUGCGCCUAUACGUCUCCGCCAUCCUUGGGGAAAACUUGCUUGGCAUUAGGUUGUCGAGUUUGGGAUCCCCAUCGUUUACUGUGAAAAAAUUAGAGUGUUCAAAGCAGGCUUAUGCCGUUGAAUACAUUAGCAUGGAAUAAUAAGAUAGGACCUUGGUACUAUUUUGUUGGUUUGCGUACCUAGGUAAUGAUUAAUAGGGGCAGUUGGGGGUAUUCGUAUUCAAUUGUCAGAGGUGAAAUUCUUGGAUUUAUGGAAGACGAACUACUGCGAAAGCAUUUACCAAGGAUGUUUUCAUUAAUCAAGAACGAAAGUUAGGGGAUCGAAGAUGAUUAGAUACCAUCGUAGUCUUAACCAUAAACUAUGCCGACUAGGGAUUGGCGGUCGUUUUUCCGACUCCGCCAGCACCUUAUGAGAAAUCAAAGUCUUUGGGUUCCGGGGGGAGUAUGGUCGCAAGGCUGAAACUUAAAGAAAUUGACGGAA
RNAcentral lists this ribosomal RNA (547 nucleotides) under uncultured bolidophyte. RNAcentral's name for it is "SSU rRNA". It matches the Rfam family "Eukaryotic small subunit ribosomal RNA", at positions 607 to 1161 of the family's 1831-position model. The record is from RNAcentral. Lineage: Eukaryota; Bolidophyceae.